Molecule: ribosomal RNA, 460 nt
Filed under: uncultured bacterium
Lineage: Bacteria
Description: partial 16S ribosomal RNA
Rfam family: Bacterial small subunit ribosomal RNA
Source: RNAcentral
CCUACGGGAGGCAGCAGUGAGGAAUAUUGGUCAAUGGACGAGAGUCUGAACCAGCCAAGUAGCGUGAAGGAUGACUGCCCUAUGGGUUGUAAACUUCUUUUAUAUGGGAAUAAAACGUUCCACGUGUGGGAUUUUGUAUGUACCAUAUGAAUAAGGAUCGGCUAACUCCGUGCCAGCAGCCGCGGUAAUACGGAGGAUCCGAGCGUUAUCCGGAUUUAUUGGGUUUAAAGGGAGCGUAGGUGGAUUGUUAAGUCAGUUGUGAAAGUUUGCGGCUCAACCGUAAAAUUGCAGUUGAAACUGGCAGUCUUGAGUACAGUAGAGGUGGGCGGAAUUCGUGGUGUAGCGGUGAAAUGCUUAGAUAUCACGAAGAACUCCGAUUGCGAAGGUAGUUCACUGGACUGCAACUGACACUGAGGCUCGAAAGUGUGGGUAUCAAACAGGAUUAGAUACCCCAGUAGUC